CAAGUCGAGCGAGUCUACCUUAUAGCAAUAUGAGGUAAGUCGAGCGGCGUAAGGGGCAGUAAUACCUGGGAACGUACCCUGAGGUCGGGGAUAGCUGCUGGAAACGGCGAGUAAUACCCGAUGAUCUUGGAAAAGCAAAGGCUUGCCGCCUUGGGAGCGGCCCAGGCGAUAUUAGCUAGUUGGUGGGGUAAUGGCCUACCAAGGCAUAGAUGUCUAGCGGGUGUGAGAGCACGACCCGCGCCACUGGCACUGAGACACUGGCCAGACACCUACGGGUGGCUGCAGUCGAGAAUCUUCGGCAAUGAGCGCAAGCUUGACCGAGCGACGCCGCGUGCGGGAUGAAGGCCUUCGGGUUGUAAACCGCUUUGGUCCGAAAGAAAGGGUAAAACUUGAUCGAUCGGAGAAACAAGGACGGGCUAAGUUCGUGCCAGCAGCCGCGGUAAGACGAACCGUCCAAACGUUAUUCGGAAUCACUGGGCUUAAAGGGCGCGUAGGCGGCCGAGCGGGUCGUGGGUGAAAUCCCCCAGCUUAACUGGGGAACUGCUUACGAUACCACUGCGGCUCGAGGAAGGAAGGGGCAAUGGGAACUGUCGGUGGAGCGGUGAAAUGCGUUGAUAUCGACAGGAACGCCUGUGGCGAAAGCGCAUUGCUGGUCCUUUUCUGACGCUGAGGCGCGAAAGCCAGGGGAGCAAACGGGAUUAGAUACCCCGGUAGUCCUGGCCUUAAACGAUGAGAACUAGGUAGUGGGUCCGACCUGGGCACACUGCCGAAGCGAAAGUCUUAAGUUCUCCGCCUGGGGAGUAUGGUCGCAAGGCUGAAACUCAAAGGAAUUGACGG
RNAcentral lists this ribosomal RNA (837 nucleotides) under uncultured bacterium. RNAcentral's name for it is "bacterial SSU rRNA". It matches the Rfam family "Bacterial small subunit ribosomal RNA", at positions 58 to 916 of the family's 1533-position model. The record is from RNAcentral.